AUCGCUUCUCAGCCUUUUGGCUAAGAUCAAAGUGCAGAACUGUUCUUAUCAGCUUAAUAUCUGAUACGGUUCUUAUUUGGGGCCAUCGAUAUUAAACUGAUUUUUAGAACAAGGCGAAAUGUUAGGGGCUUGCUCCGCCUUUGCCACGAUUUUCUUCAAUAGGUGCCGGAGUGGCUGUGUGGUAAGUAGCUUGC
Octopus sinensis (East Asian common octopus) is the source of this 194-nucleotide small nuclear RNA. RefSeq annotates it as U2 spliceosomal RNA. The record is from RefSeq and is a predicted model, not a curated record. NCBI's taxonomy places the organism in Eukaryota, Metazoa, Mollusca, Cephalopoda, Octopoda, Octopodidae. The transcript has a single exon.